GCGGGUGUAGCUCAAUGGUAGAGCACCGUCCUUCCAAGUCGGCUACGAGGUUUCGAUUACCUUCACCCGCUCCA
RNAcentral lists this transfer RNA (74 nucleotides) under Acidimicrobiia bacterium. Its description in RNAcentral is "tRNA-Gly". It matches the Rfam family "tRNA". From Rfam's summary of the family: Transfer RNA (tRNA) molecules are approximately 80 nucleotides in length. Their secondary structure includes four short double-helical elements and three loops (D, anti-codon, and T loops). RNAcentral also lists the same sequence under 2 other names. Lineage: Bacteria; Bacillati; Actinomycetota; Acidimicrobiia. The record is from RNAcentral.